RNAcentral lists this ribosomal RNA (478 nucleotides) under Atopobium sp. oral taxon 416. RNAcentral describes it as "bacterial SSU rRNA". It matches the Rfam family "Bacterial small subunit ribosomal RNA", at positions 398 to 887 of the family's 1533-position model. Lineage: Bacteria; Bacillati; Actinomycetota; Coriobacteriia; Coriobacteriales; Atopobiaceae. The record is from RNAcentral.
CGCGUGCGGGAUGAAGGCCUUCGGGUUGUAAACCGCUUUCAGCAGGGACGAGGCGAAAGUGACGGUACCUGCAGAAGAAGCCCCGGCUAACUACGUGCCAGCAGCCGCGGUAAUACGUAGGGGGCAAGCGUUAUCCGGAUUCAUUGGGCGUAAAGCGCGCGUAGGCUGCCCAGUAGGUCGAGGGUUAAAUCCGGGGGCUCAACCCCCGUCCGCUCCCGAUACCGCUGGGAUUCGAGUCUGGUAGGGGAAGGUGGAAUUCCCAGUGUAGCGGUGGAAUGCGCAGAUAUUGGGAAGAACACCGGUGGCGAAGGCGGCCUUCUGGGCCAUGACUGACGCUGAGGCGCGAAAAGCUAGGGGAGCGAACAGGAUUAGAUACCCUGGUAGUCCUAUCCGUAAACGAUGGGCACUAGGUGUGGGGAGGCUUUACUUUCCGUGCCGACCGCUAACGCAUUAAGUGCCCCGCCUGGGGAGUACGGCC